AACCCAUGUUGAGGACAUUUUCAGAGGAGUUCCAUGAACUUUUCCCAUAUCUCAAAUAGAGACUCCAAUUCCAUUUGUAAGAAGGAAGAAAUCUCAUUCCUAAGCUU
Dioscorea cayenensis subsp. rotundata (Guinea yam) is the source of this 107-nucleotide small nucleolar RNA. The record is from RefSeq and is a predicted model, not a curated record. Lineage: Eukaryota; Viridiplantae; Streptophyta; Magnoliopsida; Dioscoreales; Dioscoreaceae.